This 301-nucleotide long non-coding RNA is filed under the name Elaeis guineensis (African oil palm). RNAcentral describes it as "long non-coding RNA (EGUI_LNC004167)". Lineage: Eukaryota; Viridiplantae; Streptophyta; Magnoliopsida; Arecales; Arecaceae. The record is from RNAcentral.
AGCCGGCGGAGAUGAAGGGUAUUCUAGAUAAAAAGGUUGGCAUUGAACUAGUUGUUGACGAGGGUAUGAACAUAGACUAGGAUGCUUAUGGGAGGAAAUGGGUGGUGGCAUAGGUCUCGUGGAGCGCAAAGAAAGAGAGGGAUGGCAGGGAUGGAUGAUAGCUGAGGAGGUGAAGUAGAGGAGGAUGGCAGUUAGGUGAAGUGUUAGACGAGAGAGGUAGCUAGCUCGAAGGUGACCAAAACCCAAAACAGCAUCAAGGGUAAUGAUCAUAAAGAGAGACUCAAGAGCAAGGUAGGGAGGA